Molecule: ribosomal RNA, 490 nt
Filed under: uncultured bacterium
Lineage: Bacteria
Description: partial 16S ribosomal RNA
Rfam family: Bacterial small subunit ribosomal RNA
Source: RNAcentral
AGUGAACGCUGGCGGCAGGCCUAACACAUGCAAGUCGAACGGCAGCACAAGAGAGCUUGCUCUCUGGGUGGCGAGUGGCGGACGGGUGAGGAAUGCAUCGGAAUCUGCCCAUUUGUGGGGGAUAACCUCGGGAAACCGGGACUAAUACCGCAUACGACCUACGGGUGAAAGCAGGGGAUCUUCGGACCUUGCGCAGAUGGAUGAGCCGAUGCCGGAUUAGCUAGUUGGAGGGGUAAAGGCCCACCAAGGCGACGAUCCGUAGCUGGUCUGAGAGGAUGAUCAGCCACACUGGGACUGAGAUACGGCCCAGACUCCUACGGGAGGCAGCAGUGGGGAAUAUUGGACAAUGGGCGCAAGCCUGAUCCAGCCAUGCCGCGUGUGUGAAGAAGGCCUUCGGGUUGUAAAGCACUUUUGUUGGGAAAGAAAAGCAGCCGGUUAAUACCCGGUUGUCAUGACGGUACCCAAAGAAUAAGCACCGGCUAACUUCGUG